Drosophila virilis is the source of this 1569-nucleotide long non-coding RNA. RefSeq lists it as uncharacterized. NCBI's taxonomy places the organism in Eukaryota, Metazoa, Arthropoda, Insecta, Diptera, Drosophilidae. The record is from RefSeq and is a predicted model, not a curated record.
ACCGCAGACCAAGCAAGCUGCAGAUUUAAAUAAAACAAAUUUCUACCAAGUGCUGUCCUCCUCGAUUCUCAAAAAUUCAAGUAGGCCCUGCUGAAAUUCAACAAGGCAGGAAACGUUGGCUCCAACGGCCGCUGGAGGAGCAACUAGAGGCGGAGGAGCAUGAGGAGGCGGAGGAAGCUUGGAUUCUGCGGAAAGUGUAAAACACAGCUCAAAUUAUUUUGCAUAUACAAAGAUGCUUGGAAAUGAAAUUGACGGAUGUAUUUUCCACAAACUGCGAUACAGUCAUCAGAUGAAUUUUGUCAACGAUUAUCGAAAUUGUUUUUGAAGCUGAUCGGCUGCGGAAAAUUCAUUAGCCUACUUCAAAGAUUGUAAUGUGGCAUGCCAAAAGAUGUACGCAUUGUUGUUGGUUUAAUUUUUCCAUCAUUUUCCGGGGGCGAAAUUUCGAAAUUUCAAUUUAAAUGAAAAACCUGCAUUGUCAAAGAAAUGCGUAGCAGCCCGAGUGCGUCGACUCGCCUUUGUUGAACUUAAAUGGCAAAUAUCUGACGGAUAAAUUGAGCUUAUUUAUCAAAGUUUUAAUUAAAAACUUCAUAGCAGCAGUCUCUAAAUUGCUAAGUGUGUAAUUACAACUGCCACGACAGCAACAGCAGCAACAACAACAACAACAACAACAACAACAAGUGGCAAAAAUCUGCACACCUCAAGGCAGCAGUUGAAGACGAACGAGAGCUGCAGAAUACCUUAAUGUCAUCAGCUUACGAAACGGAAGCGGAAGCAGUUCCCUGCGCCCUAAUGUAUGCAACAAAUAAAAUUCACACAAAAUUGAAUUAGACUUAAUAAACCAGAAUACCAAAGCACCAGCUGGAGGCAGCUGGAUGUAUGGAUGUAUGCCUUUGCCCGCUUCUCCCUGCUAAUUUUUGCAGCGGAAUUGCCGGGCACUGGCCCAUUAAACACAAAAGUCGCAAAUAAAUAUAAAAAUGGCGCUGCAAGACGAAGUACUACUAGACGUAAUAGAGAAGCGCACAGAAAUUCAUAAAGCGCGCAGCGCGCUUUACGCGUGACUGAAUUUAACGGUGCUCUGCGGAGGCAGCAACAAAAAGGAACAGGCAACAAACACCCAGAAAGAAAAAGUACAACACAAAAAAAAAAAAAAAAUGGCAAGAAAAUCACAAACAACAUUCCAAGCAUUACAAAGGCCACGCACAGCAACAACGCAGAACAACUCGCAACGGACGGCGGACGGAUAAGAUGAGACCAGAGACAUAAACAGAAACAGAAACAGAAACGGGAACAGUUACAGAAAUGGGAAUGGGCACAGAAAUGGGAACGGGAACAGAAGAGUGCAACCAGCGGCAAAAUUAACGAAAUUGGCAAAGUUCUUUUGAAUCCUACACUUUUCGGCACACAAAAUUUGAUUGCAUCAAGGUUCUCACAAAUCUGUAUGCUGUACUCAACAUUCGUUGGAAAUGGCAAUCUUUAUGCCAUAUGGAAAUGAACGAGUUCUUCGCAACUCAAGGGGAAUUUUCCGGAGAAAUGUUCGAGUAAGUGAGCUUUUAUUUAUUAAAGAUCCGA